Long non-coding RNA from Symsagittifera roscoffensis, 499 nucleotides. RefSeq lists it as uncharacterized. The transcript is spliced from 3 exons. NCBI's taxonomy places the organism in Eukaryota, Metazoa, Xenacoelomorpha, Acoela, Convolutidae. The record is from RefSeq and is a predicted model, not a curated record.
GGUCAGCAAGAGAGAAAAACUUACCAGGAAAAUAGAUCUUCUCUUAGAAACAUAUUGCUAUCUGAAGUAUCUAUUUUUUAUUGUUCUUAAAAUAAACAACCGUAUUGGCCAAUAGAAAUGUGGAACAGAUGAGACAAAGAAAAUAUUUCAUAAACUCAAGCUGAAAAAUUGGCCGAGGAAUAAUAUAAAAUUGAUUUCAUCAAUUUCCAUUGUUGCUUUUCGUUGGGUUAGAAAAAUAUAACAGUCAUAUUAAUCUUGAUUAGAAAUUAACAAAUCAAACAUUGUUUCAAAAAAGGACAGAACAGCGAAAUCAUUCUUAAAAAUGAAGCUCAGCUCCUUUAUCGCCAUCAUCGCGGCCACCUUUCUGUUGACAGUAUCAGUUCAAGCUCGCUCUCCUGGAAAGCAUUUCUUCGGCGCACAUAAGCGAUUUGGAUACAUGCCUGCAAAAUACAUGAACGAACUUCUAACGGAGCACGGAGAUGACUCUUUUGGCGAUGAU